AGCUACAGGCUUAACACAUGCAAGUCGAGGGGCAGCAUUUUAGUUUGCUUGCAAACUGAAGAUGGCGACCGGCGCACGGGUGAGUAACACGUAUCCAACCUGCCGAUAACUCCGGAAUAGCCUUUCGAAAGAAAGAUUAAUACCGGAUAGCAUACGAAUAUCGCAUGAUAUUUUUAUUAAAGAAUUUCGGUUAUCGAUGGGGAUGCGUUCCAUUAGUUUGUUGGCGGGGUAACGGCCCACCAAGACUACGAUGGAUAGGGGUUCUGAGAGGAAGGUCCCCCACAUUGGAACUGAGACACGGUCCAAACUCCUACGGGAGGCAGCAGUGAGGAAUAUUGGUCAAUGGGCGAGAGCCUGAACCAGCCAAGUAGCGUGAAGGAUGAAGGCUCUAUGGGUCGUAAACUUCUUUUAUAUGGGAAUAAAGUUUUCCACGUGUGGAAAUUUUGUAUGUACCAUAUGAAUAAGGAUCGGCUAACUCCGUGCCAGCAGCCGCGGUAAUACGGAAGAUCCGAGCGUUAUCCGGGAUUUAUUGGGUUUAAAGGGAGCGUAAGUGGAAUGGUUAAGUCAGUUGUGAAAGUUUGCCGCUCAACCGUAAAAUUGCAGUUGAAACUGGCAGUCUUGAGUACAGUAGAGGUGGGCGGAAUUCGUGGUGUAGCGGUGAAAUGCUUAGAUAUCACGAAGAACUCCGAUUGCGAAGGCAGCUCACUAGACUGUCACUGACACUGAUGCUCGAAAGUGUGGGUAUCAAACAGGAUUAGAUACCCUGGUAGUCCACACAGUAAACGAUGAAUACUCGCUGUUUGCGAUAUACAGUAAGCGGCCAAGCGAAAGCAUUAAGUAUUCCACCUGGGGAGUACGCCGGCAACGGUGAAACUCAAAGGAAUUGACGGGGGCCCGCACAAGCGGAGGAACAUGUGGUUUAAUUCGAUGAUACGCGAGGAACCUUACCCGGGCUUAAAUUGCAACAGAAUAUAUUGGAAACAGUAUAGCCGUAAGGCUGUUGUGAAGGUGCUGCAUGGUUGUCGUCAGCUCGUGCCGUGAGGUGUCGGCUUAAGUGCCAUAACGAGCGCAACCCUUAUCUUUAGUUACUAACAGGUCAUGCUGAGGACUCUAGAGAGACUGCCGUCGUAAGAUGUGAGGAAGGUGGGGAUGACGUCAAAUCAGCACGGCCCUUACGUCCGGGGCUACACACGUGUUACAAUGGGGGGUACAGAAGGCGGCUACCUGGUGACAGGAUGCUAAUCCCAAAAACCUCUCUCAGUUCGGAUCGAAGUCUGCAACCCGACUUCGUGAAGCUGGAUUCGCUAGUAAUCGCGCAUCAGCCAUGGCGCGGUGAAUACGUUCCCGGGCCUUGUACACACCGCCCGUCAAGCCAUGAAAGCCGGGGGUACCUGAAGUACGUAACCGCAAGGAGCGUCCUAGGGUAAAACUGGUAAUUGGGGCG
RNAcentral lists this ribosomal RNA (1444 nucleotides) under uncultured organism. RNAcentral describes it as "SSU rRNA". It matches the Rfam family "Bacterial small subunit ribosomal RNA". The record is from RNAcentral.